Molecule: long non-coding RNA, 819 nt
Organism: Xenopus laevis (African clawed frog)
Lineage: Eukaryota; Metazoa; Chordata; Amphibia; Anura; Pipidae
Exons: 4
Source: RefSeq, a predicted model, not a curated record
GUUGAAACCAAGGCACAGGAGAUGUUUAUACAAAGAAUUGUUACUACAGAGAGAUUUGACAGCCAAAAAUGCUGAUUUGUUUGGAUUAUAGCCUGAAAACCACAAAUCCUUCAGAUUAUUGUACGAAACCCAGCGCAGAUCAGGAUAUCUUCCAAUUGUAAACGGGACAUCUGCCAUUGACUUCUACAUCACUUCUGCAGAGAAAAAGGAAAUACUUUUUACAAAUUUGGAUUAUUUGGAUAAAAUGGAGUCUAUGGGAGACAGCCUUUUCUUGCUUCUUCUUCAAAUCCUGUGCCGUACCGUUCCCUAAAGGGUCUAGUGCUGGUGCACCCGGACCACAUUUACUAUUUGCUAGGUAAGAAGAAAUAUUCCUUAUGGGAGCUGAAGCUUGCUCAUGGCUUUCUUAAUCCUAUUAAAUGUGUAAAUGUGUAAUUGUGUCAGUAGAGCAGUUAGUUACAUAUUCUAGGCAACUGAUGAUGAUGAACCUCGAGCUCUGAGCUGGUUACUGCAUUGGUGAGAAGAAGAUGCUGUUAUUUAAUGAGAGUAACCGCUGAGAUCCAUUAGCCUUGCAUCACAUUACAGAGGAUUAGCCAGUAAUAAGAUCCAUGGAAAGGACAACAUUAUCGGUUUUACAACUGUAACUUUAGGUGGUUCGAGGUGGGGGGCCCAGAAGCACUACCUUGCCUAGGGCCCUGUUUAGUCUUAAUCCGGCUCUGACUUUAAUGCAUUUGUGCGUAUAAAAUUGAUUUUGAUGCUCAUUGACUUCAAUGUGUUUCUUAUUUUCGGAACAGAAUCGCCCAUCACUAAUCAUAUCCUGUA